Albula glossodonta (roundjaw bonefish) is the source of this 72-nucleotide non-coding RNA. Lineage: Eukaryota; Metazoa; Chordata; Actinopteri; Albuliformes; Albulidae. The record is from the annotation of a GenBank genome assembly.
GGUUCCAUGGUGUAACAGUUAGCACUCUGGACUCUGAAUCCAGUAAUCCGAGUUCAAAUGUCGGUGGGACCU